GAUCCGGUGGCCUAGUGGUUAGAGGGUCCGCCUUGGAUGCGAGUGGUCGUGGGUUCGAUCCCCGGCUGAGUCA
Molecule: non-coding RNA, 73 nt
Organism: Potamilus streckersoni
Lineage: Eukaryota; Metazoa; Mollusca; Bivalvia; Unionida; Unionidae
Source: the annotation of a GenBank genome assembly